This 58-nucleotide transfer RNA is filed under the name Tayassu pecari (white-lipped peccary). Its description in RNAcentral is "partial tRNA-Gly". The record is from RNAcentral. Lineage: Eukaryota; Metazoa; Chordata; Mammalia; Artiodactyla; Tayassuidae.
AUCAAAAAGUACAACUGACUUCCAAUCAGUUAGCUUCGGUAGAAAUCCGAAAAAGAAU